Camellia sinensis is the source of this 633-nucleotide non-coding RNA. The record is from RefSeq and is a predicted model, not a curated record. NCBI's taxonomy places the organism in Eukaryota, Viridiplantae, Streptophyta, Magnoliopsida, Ericales, Theaceae.
ACGGCAAGGAGAUGCUACAGUAAUGGAUUCUCAAUCUCUAUUUGUUUUCUUGUUUACAUUCGCAGAGAUAAAAGAGGGAAAACAACAAAAAGGUCUUAUUUGGCUUUUCGACUUUGGGGUUCUUUAAUUUCUAUGUGGAUCAGAUAUGAAGAUUAAAGCUUAUAGAGCUCUCAAUUAGUGUCUAUGAAGCAAAUUUAGCUUUGAUUUUGAUCCUGGGUAUUACCCAGAAAUUCGUGUAUGAAACUGUACAUGUGAGAGAUGGACCAAACCGUCGAUCCUUCGCCGAAUGCACAGAGAGGUUUUUGAGUUCGAGCUCCAUUGAUUUUGGAUGUAGAAGGGGAAAAAUGAGAGAGGUAAAGAUGAAGAUAGAAAGAUAAAGCAAAGGCCAAAGAAUUUGACAAAGAUGAAAGAAAACACAAGGAUGAGGAAACAUUAAACUGAGAAAAUUAAAUUGAAGGAACAAAUGCGGUUGGACUAUUGAAGUGGCUCCUUUGGUUGGCAUGAAUAGUGACUUGAUUGAUCACAAUGAAAUUGGAUCAAAAUGAAUGUAGUCAAAUUAAUAUGAAUGUAAGAUUAAUAUUUGCAAGGACAAUGUUGAUUGAAUAAAAUGAUAUGCUGGUUGAUUGAAUGAAA